Vicia faba (fava bean) is the source of this 291-nucleotide non-coding RNA. NCBI's taxonomy places the organism in Eukaryota, Viridiplantae, Streptophyta, Magnoliopsida, Fabales, Fabaceae. The record is from the annotation of a GenBank genome assembly.
AUGCCAUGUGUUAAGCAUCAGAGUCUGUUGCCAUUGGGCUUCACUUCCUCUCAUCGUACUCUACAAGGCGUUAACGAGAUAAAAAAAUGCAGAGAUCGUACCUACGAAGACGCUCUCAUCAGCCGCGAGUUUAGUAAUGAAAGACAAUCAUUGCGAACUGGUUUGAACUCGGUUGGUCUGGACUGUGAAUACAUAGCACAACAUUGGAUUUGUCUUAUUGAUGCAGCAACUUAUGCACUGUUAUGGUUGGCUAUUUUUUGGGCAGCUGGAAGUACAAGAGCUUAUAGAUGA